UGGAGUAGUAUUUGAAAGUAGCGGUGGCAAAAAUCCUUGCAAAUUUCGCCUAGGUGAUGAAGAAGUAAUGGAUGGUUUUAAUAUGGGCAUUGAUGGUAUGCGUCUUGGUGAUAAGAGGAGACUUAUAAUCCCUCCAUCUCUAGGUUUUGGAGAACAAGGAUUUGGUACAAGUGUACCUCCAAAUCAUGG
Sesamum indicum (sesame) is the source of this 189-nucleotide non-coding RNA. Lineage: Eukaryota; Viridiplantae; Streptophyta; Magnoliopsida; Lamiales; Pedaliaceae. The record is from RefSeq and is a predicted model, not a curated record.